This 260-nucleotide long non-coding RNA is filed under the name Homo sapiens (human). RNAcentral describes it as "non-protein coding RBM15-AS1:27". Lineage: Eukaryota; Metazoa; Chordata; Mammalia; Primates; Hominidae. The record is from RNAcentral.
CUUUCAUUGGCUUAUAAACCCGUCCUUUAAACCACUAUUUGGGAGGUCGGGCCAUCAGUUUCGGCGUUUUUUCCAGAGAGGCAGGCUCACAGCGAUAUCGCGAGAGACGGGAAUUGCUCUGUCACGCAAGCUGGAGUGCAGUGGUGCCAUCUCGGCUCACUGUGACCUCUGCCUCCUGGGCUCAAGCCAUCCUCCCACCUCAGCCCUUCAAGUAGCUGGGAUUACAGGUCACCAUCCUCUCACUCGCCUCUGACUUUUCG